GGUUGUGGCUCAGUGGUAGAGCACUUGCCUAGCACGUGUGAGGCCCUGGGUACGAUUCUCAGCACCA
Molecule: transfer RNA, 67 nt
Filed under: Urocitellus parryii (Arctic ground squirrel)
Lineage: Eukaryota; Metazoa; Chordata; Mammalia; Rodentia; Sciuridae
Also listed under: 1 other name
Description: Spermophilus parryii (Arctic ground squirrel) tRNA
Rfam family: tRNA
About the family: Transfer RNA (tRNA) molecules are approximately 80 nucleotides in length. Their secondary structure includes four short double-helical elements and three loops (D, anti-codon, and T loops).
Source: Rfam by way of RNAcentral